UCACCGGUAGAAUAUGCAAAACUGCAUUAUAUAUAGUUCAAUAAAAAUAAAAAAAAACAUCAACUAAUCUUACUAUUUGUUAAGUACAAAAAUAAAGCAUAAAGUAAUACUACCAACACAAACAAGAAAGAUAUCUCUGUACAGUUUUGUGCCAGAAAAAAAUAGCAGAAAAAUAUAUUUCAAAACCUUUUUUGUUUUUGUUUAUAAGCACACCAGUAGGUUUGAUGAACAUUUUUGCAGGGUGCCGAAUCUUUAUGCACAAUUCAGUUAGCUUUGACAAAACUCGACUUCUGCGUCUGAUAUUUAAUACAUAAGCUUAAACGUUAAGAUAUUUUGUCACUUUUACAUACUUUCCCCAAAUAGAAUACUGCAUUAUACUGAUAAUGAAAGUAAAAGAUAUACUGUGACAAUGAGUACAAAUAUUUCCCAAUUAAAUUCUUUAUCAUAUAUAAUGCAAAAAAAA
This 463-nucleotide long non-coding RNA is filed under the name Mytilus galloprovincialis (Mediterranean mussel). Lineage: Eukaryota; Metazoa; Mollusca; Bivalvia; Mytilida; Mytilidae. The record is from RNAcentral.